GAGAGGAGCUUGCUCCUCUGACGUUAGCGGCGGACGGGUGAGUAACACGUGGAUAACCUACCUAUAAGACUGGGAUAACUUCGGGAAACCGGAGCUAAUACCGGAUAAUAUAUUGAACCGCAUGGUUCAAUAGUGAAAGACGGUUUUGCUGUCACUUAUAGAUGGAUCCGCGCCGCAUUAGCUAGUUGGUAAGGUAACGGCUUACCAAGGCAACGAUGCGUAGCCGACCUGAGAGGGUGAUCGGCCACACUGGAACUGAGACACGGUCCAGACUCCUACGGGAGGCAGCAGUAGGGAAUCUUCCGCAAUGGGCGAAAGCCUGACGGAGCAACGCCGCGUGAGUGAUGAAGGUCUUCGGAUCGUAAAACUCUGUUAUUAGGGAAGAACAAAUGUGUAAGUAACUAUGCACGUCUUGACGGUACCUAAUCAGAAAGCCACGGCUAACUACGUGCCAGCAGCCGCGGUAAUACGUAGGUGGCAAGCGUUAUCCGGAAUUAUUGGGCGUAAAGCGCGCGUAGGCGGUUUUUUAAGUCUGAUGUGAAAGCCCACGGCUCAACCGUGGAGGGUCAUUGGAAACUGGAAAACUUGAGUGCAGAAGAGGAAAGUGGAAUUCCAUGUGUAGCGGUGAAAUGCGCAGAGAUAUGGAGGAACACCAGUGGCGAAGGCGACUUUCUGGUCUGUAACUGACGCUGAUGUGCGAAAGCGUGGGGAUCAAACAGGAUUAGAUACCCUGGUAGUCCACGCCGUAAACGAUGAGUGCUAAGUGUUAGGGGGUUUCCGCCCCUUAGUGCUGCAGCUAACGCAU
Molecule: ribosomal RNA, 805 nt
Filed under: Staphylococcus sp. 21ND18
Lineage: Bacteria; Bacillati; Bacillota; Bacilli; Caryophanales; Staphylococcaceae
Description: bacterial SSU rRNA
Rfam family: Bacterial small subunit ribosomal RNA
Source: RNAcentral